Molecule: transfer RNA, 66 nt
Filed under: Ambrosia artemisiifolia (common ragweed)
Lineage: Eukaryota; Viridiplantae; Streptophyta; Magnoliopsida; Asterales; Asteraceae
Also listed under: 2 other names
Description: partial tRNA-Leu
Source: RNAcentral
GGGGAUAUGGCGAAAUUGGUAGACGCUACGGACUUAAAAAAUCCGUCGAUUUCAAAAAUCAUGAGG